GCAAACUUGGUCAUUUAGAGGAAGUAAAAGUCGUAACAAGGUUUCCGUAGGUGAACCUGCGGAAGGAUCAUUGAAGAAUUCCAGCAGCUCGUGAGCUGUGCUGGUCCCCCCUCGGGGGGGGCAUGUGCACGUUCCCGUUCUGCCAUCCUCACAAACAAACCCCUGUGCACUCUGGGGGGUCGGGUCACUCUCCCUCCGAGCUCAGGCUCGGUCCGAUCCGUCCCUCUCUCCACACACACCUCUUUUUUAAAGUCCAGCAUGUGAUCGUCUAAAUGAAAAUUUUACAACUUUCAACAAUGGAUCUCUUGGCUCUCGCAUCGAUGAAGAACGCAGC
Molecule: unclassified non-coding RNA, 334 nt
Filed under: uncultured fungus
Lineage: Eukaryota; Fungi
Description: partial contains small subunit ribosomal RNA, internal transcribed spacer 1, and 5.8S ribosomal RNA
Rfam family: Eukaryotic small subunit ribosomal RNA (bases 1-73)
Source: RNAcentral